GUUUUAAUAUUGUUUAUACAGGAUUAUUCCUCUGCUGUUUGGAGGGAUUGAAUGUGGGUUAUUAUAAGAACGCUUGCCUUUUCCCUUUUUACAUUUUGUGUUCAUAUCUAAAAAAUGAGAGAUGGUUUUGUGUGUUUUCAGGCUCUGUUGCGAGGUUUAUUCUUCACAGAGGAGAGGAGUACUGCUCUUAAGAGGGGGUUUGAUGCAUCUUUACUUAUGAGUUAGUUUCUUUUUUUCUGUUGGUUGUAUGAGUUUGCAGUUUUGUUUAGUUUCUUUUCUUCUGUUGGUUGUAUGAGUUUGCAGUUUUGGGCUUAGAUUUGAGGUCAUCAUUGUUCAGGUCAGCAACUCUGUGUCUUUUGGCGAGCAGAUUUAAGCAGUGUUUGGUUUUGUAUGAUUGAUUUGCAAGGCAUUUUGUUGGGUAGUUGUACAUGGAAAGACAACAUUGGAGAUAUAAAAUAAAAAUUAUUUUGUUGUUCCAAUUACUAUGGUAUGUAUUAGAUUUAUGGUUUGAAACUUGUGAGGUUUAUUCUAUACCAUUGAUGUCAACCCUUAUUGUGAUCCGGCGCGUAAAUUGGCGGACAACAAGUAUAGGACCAUCGAUUUUCCGUUUGAGCCGGCGGAUGGAGAAGUGAACACAGGACCCUUUGAGUUUUUGACAGAGAGGGUGACAGAGAGGGUGAUGGAUUUGGAUGGUCUUUUCACAUCCAUAGCUGGCAUUAUUUUUGAAAAGCCUCGAAGAUUGAAAAGUAUUGUAAAGUGAUGUGCAAAUGCGAUGUGCUCUUCC
RNAcentral lists this long non-coding RNA (784 nucleotides) under Prunus dulcis (almond). Its description in RNAcentral is "sRNA ncRNA". Lineage: Eukaryota; Viridiplantae; Streptophyta; Magnoliopsida; Rosales; Rosaceae. The record is from RNAcentral.